RNAcentral lists this ribosomal RNA (714 nucleotides) under Paraburkholderia sp. RNAcentral's name for it is "bacterial SSU rRNA". It matches the Rfam family "Bacterial small subunit ribosomal RNA", at positions 341 to 1046 of the family's 1533-position model. The record is from RNAcentral. Lineage: Bacteria; Pseudomonadati; Pseudomonadota; Betaproteobacteria; Burkholderiales; Burkholderiaceae.
ACGGGAGGCAGCAGUGGGGAAUUUUGGACAAUGGGCGCAAGCCUGAUCCAGCAAUGCCGCGUGUGUGAAGAAGGCCUUCGGGUUGUAAAGCACUUUUGUCCGGAAAGAAAACCUCUGCCCUAAUACGGCGGGGGGAUGACGGUACCGGAAGAAUAAGCACCGGCUAACUACGUGCCAGCAGCCGCGGUAAUACGUAGGGUGCAAGCGUUAAUCGGAAUUACUGGGCGUAAAGCGUGCGCAGGCGGUCCGCUAAGACAGAUGUGAAAUCCCCGGGCUUAACCUGGGAACUGCAUUUGUGACUGGCGGGCUAGAGUAUGGCAGAGGGGGGUAGAAUUCCACGUGUAGCAGUGAAAUGCGUAGAGAUGUGGAGGAAUACCGAUGGCGAAGGCAGCCCCCUGGGCCAAUACUGACGCUCAUGCACGAAAGCGUGGGGAGCAAACAGGAUUAGAUACCCUGGUAGUCCACGCCCUAAACGAUGUCAACUGGUUGUCGGGUCUUCAUUGACUUGGUAACGUAGCUAACGCGUGAAGUUGACCGCCUGGGGAGUACGGUCGCAAGAUUAAAACUCAAAGGAAUUGACGGGGACCCGCACAAGCGGUGGAUGAUGUGGAUUAAUUCGAUGCAACGCGAAAAACCUUACCUACCCUUGACAUGGUCGGAAUCCUGCUGAGAGGCGGGAGUGCCUGAAAGGGAACCGAUACACAGGUGCUGCAU